RNAcentral lists this ribosomal RNA (253 nucleotides) under uncultured bacterium. Its description in RNAcentral is "partial 16S ribosomal RNA". It matches the Rfam family "Bacterial small subunit ribosomal RNA", at positions 524 to 776 of the family's 1533-position model. The record is from RNAcentral.
UACAGAGGUGGCAAGCGUUGUUCGGAAUUACUGGGCGUAAAGGGCGCGUAGGCGGUUCGUUAAGUCCUGUGUGAAAUCCCCCGGCUCAACUGGGGAACUGCACAGGAAACUAGCGGGCUUGAGUUCGGGAGAGGGAAGCGGAAUUCCGGGUGUAGCGGUGAAAUGCGUAGAUAUUCGGAAGAACACCAGUGGCGAAGGCGGCUCACUGGACUGGUAUUGACGCUGAGGUGCGAAAGCGUGGGGAGCAAACAGG